Molecule: ribosomal RNA, 447 nt
Filed under: uncultured bacterium
Lineage: Bacteria
Description: bacterial SSU rRNA
Rfam family: Bacterial small subunit ribosomal RNA
Source: RNAcentral
UGCCAGACUCCUACGGGAGGCAGCAGUGGGGAAUAUUGCACAAUGGGGGAAACCCUGAUGCAGCGACGCCGCGUGAGCGAUGAAGUAUUUCGGUAUGUAAAGCUCUAUCAGCAGGGAAGAAGAUGACGGUACCUGACUAAGAAGCCCCGGCUAACUACGUGCCAGCAGCCGCGGUAAUACGUAGGGGGCAAGCGUUAUCCGGAUUUACUGGGUGUAAAGGGAGCGUAGACGGCGGCGCAAGCCAGAUGUGAAAGCCCGGGGCUCAACUCCGGGACUGCAUUUGGAACUGUGUGGCUGGAGUGUCGGAGAGGCAGGCGGAAUUCCUAGUGUAGCGGUGAAAUGCGUAGAUAUUAGAAGGAACACCAGUGGCGAAGGCGGCCUGCUGGACGAUGACUGACGUUGAGGCUCGAAAGCGUGGGGAGCAAACAGGAUUAGAUACCCCGGUAC